AUGUCGGAGAGGUAUCUCUGGGCCCACUCGAUACCUGUCCUGCGCCUCCUAGGUCCCAACAAGAAGAGGUUCACCAGCGCGGAGGAUUUUGACAAGUUCAUGAACCAUCUCAUCUCCCUCCGUGGCCAUUUACCUCUUGUCAGCUGCGAGAUCCAAGCCUAUCCAACCAAUGAUGAUUAUGCUGGUGAACCUGAUGAACCCUUGCCAAACAUAUACUUUGAUUCGUGGAUCCAAUAUGCUCUAUUGUGCAAGGUUCAGGUGCUCAAAAUCAUCGGUGAUGAUGUGGGAGCGGAAACUGAGCUCAUCGUGCCUCUCAUCUCCCAGCACCUGAGGAGCCUGGAAGUUCAUCAUGUUCUGGUGGAAAAGGAUUUUGUUGAUUUCUCAAGCUGUCCAAUGUUAGAAGAACUGAAGAUGCAGCACUGUGGCCUUUGGGUGCGCAAGAUGUCGUUUCCAUCGCUAAAGCGUUUGUGGCUUACUGAAUGCAACUUCCCUGAGGCGUAUCGUGUUUGUAUUUCUGCACCCAGUCUUGUUUCACUGUGUCUGCAUGACAGUGGAGGCAAGACUCCUUUGCUUGAAAGCAUGCCAUUGCUUGAUACAGUAUCCCUUGACCUUUCUGGUCGAUGCAAGGAUAAGUGUCGGGGUUCUGGUGGUGAUCCAAGCUGUGAAGGUUGUCAUGGUUAUCCUGCUGGGAGUUAUCGUAGUGUCCUUUUGAAUACUUUGUCUAAUGCUGUAAAUUUGGAGUUGAAAGAUCAACCUGAAGUGUACAUCUACAAAAGGGAUUUGGAAUGUUGCCCCAUAUUUGGCAGAUUGAAGACUCUUUUACUCGACAUGUGGUGCAGGGCUACUGAUCUGCAUGCACUAGUUCGCAUUCUGCAGCACACGCCAGUUCUUGAAAAGCUCACUCUCCAGCUUCGUAGCGACUGGAAUUUGUUAAGCGCUGCCCGAGGUGAAAGAAAACAUGUUCGAAUUGAGCAAUCAUUUUCAUGCGUGCAUCUUAAGGAAGUCAGCAUUGAAUGUGAAGAGAAACUAAGGGUCAAGGAUAAGGUCAACCAAAUUGUGAAGAUCAUGACUAGAAAUGGCGUACUUACUGAGAACAUCAGUUUCAAGAAGAUCCCAAGGCCAGAAGUCUAUCGUCUCGUGUGUGUAUCACCUAGGGCCUUUGAUCCCUACUGGUCCGGUGAAGACUAA
RNAcentral lists this ribosomal RNA (1188 nucleotides) under Triticum aestivum (bread wheat). RNAcentral describes it as "partial small subunit ribosomal RNA". Lineage: Eukaryota; Viridiplantae; Streptophyta; Magnoliopsida; Poales; Poaceae. The record is from RNAcentral.